Molecule: small nuclear RNA, 107 nt
Organism: Delphinapterus leucas (beluga whale)
Lineage: Eukaryota; Metazoa; Chordata; Mammalia; Artiodactyla; Monodontidae
Source: Ensembl
GUGCUCACUUCAGCAGCACAUUUACUAAAAUUGGAACAAUACAAAGAAGAUUAGCAUGGUCCCUGCACAAGGAUGACAGGUAAAUUUGUGAAGCAUUACAUAUUUUU